UACUGGGCCAUGGGGGUUUUGGGCUCAGGUAAUUGAAUUUUUUUGCAUUUUGAAUUGUAAUACUAGUUUAGUCUAGUAGUGUUGCCAUAAAAAUAAUAAAAGUCACUUUCUGGUUCAAGGGUCCAAAGCACCUGUGAUGAAACGACGCUGUUUUUUUGCGUUUUGGUUAAAAGAAGAAGACCUGAGUUAUGGUCGUCAGUCAGAGGAAACCCUUGCCCUCCCCUCGAGCCUCAUUCCUGAUUCCUGAGUCUCAGCGUUAUUUCUCCCCAAAAUACAACCCUAGCCUCAGCGCGCCGCCCUUGGUCUGACUGUUGCCGGUUGGUUCGUCGUGGUCGGUUGCCAAUCCUCCUGUUUCCAAGUGGCCGAAGGCCCUUCCGUUCCCCCAACGCAAGAGUCUACAGGUCAUGGUCGGUCGUCGUCUGGCGGUCGUGUGCGUGGCAAGGUCGUCGUCGUCCGUCGCCUGCUCAGUUGUGACCGUCGCCAGCUGCCCAUCUACUGUGGCUGUCCCUCAAAUCUGUUGCUACGGCACGCGCAUCUGGUUCUUUGUUUCUGCGCUGGUGUCCCAGUUCUUCUUCUUCUCUGCAUUAUCAUUCAGCCAGUCCCUACUGCGGAGAUGGAUGCGGUGCAUAACAAUGGUGGUGAGGGGAAAAAUAAUGAAGAAAACGGGCGUUGUGAUGAGGCGGUGGCGAAGGACAUUUUGAAUGAUACUAUUGGAAGUGAAUCAGAGAGUCAAAUGUGUUUGGAUGUUGGAGAUGUUGAGGGUUUGACUAUUGAAGAUAUUAUGCAAAAGACUUUUGAUGAUGAUGCGUAUGAGUUCUACAAAAAUUUUGGUAGGUAUCAUGGGUUCGGUGUCCGAAAAGGGGACUCACGAAGGGACGAUGAUGGAAACGUUAGGAAGAGGAGGUUUUUUUUUGUAAUAAGGAGGGACUCAGAGAUCCCAAGCACUAUAAUAGACUGGAUAGGAUGCGAGUACAUAAACCUGAGACGAGAACAAAUUGCAAGGCAAAGUUUUCUGUUCACCUAGAUAAGAGUGCUUCCGUAUGGCGAGUAAGGAAGAUCAACAACAACAACAACCAUGAAUUGACUCCCCAGGUAAUGGUGCACCUAAUCCCAAAGUAUAGGUCAUUGACUAAAGGGGCGAAAGCGCAAAUUGAUAGAUUCUGUGAGUGCGGGAUAUCGACGGCAAAAACAAUGCGAUAUAUGGCAGGAUUGGUGGGUAGGUAUUCAUUGGUAGGAUUUCUAAAGAAGGACGCGUACAAUUAUAUUGACAAGCAAAGGCGCGAGCAAAUUGUUGACGAAGAUGCUGAAUCUGCGAUAGCAUACCUAGAAGGAAAGGCAGAGGCGGAUCCUAUGCUGAUGGCACGGUAUAAUUUGACCGAGGAUAGAAUGCUUGCAAAUAUGUUUUGGGCCGACGGGGGAAGUAGGUUGGACUACCAAUAUUUUGGAGAUGUUCUGGCUUUCGACUCUACUUACAAAAAAAAAAAAAAAAUAAGUACAACAGACCACUGGUUAUUUUCUCAGGAUCAAACAAUCACAAACAGACCACGAUAUUCGGCUUUGGGCUAGUGUUGGAUGAGACGAUAGGGUCAUAUACUUGGCUAUUGAAGAGCCUGUUGGAGGUAAUGUGCCAAAAGAUGCCAUAUGUGGUUGUAACCGAUGGUGAUGAAGCAAUGUGGAAAGCUGUGAGAGUGGUAUUCCCUAGAGCAACGCAUCAGUUGUGUGGGUGGCACUUUGAGAAGAAUGUCACGUCGAAUGUAAAAGAUGCAGGAUUGCGCGCACGAUUUAAUCGGUGGCUUUAUGCAGACAUUGCAGUUAACAAAUUCUUGAUGGAAUGGAGCUAGUCUGUUGAGGAGUUUAGUUUGCAAAAUAGCCUCUGGGCAAAUCAGGUAUUUGGGAAGAAGGAGAUGUGGGCAAAUGCGUACCUGAGGGAUAAAUUUUGUACUGGUAUAAGAGUGACGUCAAGUUGUGAAGGUAUAAAUAGUGUUGCAAAGAACUUCCUUCAGUCGAAGCAUGGGAUGCUUGAACUUGUUCAAAAAUGGAACUGAUGGUCCGUGACUAUCGAAACAACGAGUUGUUGGCGCAAUUUAGAUCAAUUGAUAGCAUUCCGGUGAUGCCGACAAGCUUGGAGUCACUAGAGCGAUACGCUGUGAGUGUUUAUACACGUGCAAUAUUCGGGGAUGUUUGAAACAAGAUCGUAGGUGUCGCAUCGGUCAAUCUGGUUAGAUUACAAAGGUCUUUGACUACGAAGAUUUACACUAUCGAUGAGUAUGGGCAACCCGAAAGAGAGAUCGUAGUUUUAUACAAUAAGAAUAUGGGAAGAAUGAAAUGUGGCUGCAACUUUUGGAACAAACAUGGCUAUCCCUGCAAGCACAUGUUUUUCGUCAUGAAGCAUGAGCACCUUCCUAACAUUUUGGACGGAUUAGUUCUCAAGCGAUGGACUAAAAAUGCCAAGGCACUUGAAGCAUAUGAAGAGAAGAUAGAUGACGGUGCUGACCGGGCCUGCUUAUUACGUCAUGGUGCGCUUCAUUCGGCUUGCCAUUGGCUGUUCUUUUUGGGGUCACAGAAGUAUGAUCUAUAUCGAACGGCAAUGAAAGGAAUACGUAAUCUUUGUAUCCACCUGGAGGGUUACAUUGCAACUGAGGACAAUGUGUUUUCUACCAAGGGUGAUGGAGUGAUUCGUGAUUCGGUGGCUGUGCGGACAAAGGGAGCUCCAAAAACCCAGAACUGUCGGGGGGCGCAAAAGACGGUGUACCGAAUGUAGGAACCCUGGUCACAUGAAGAGACGCUGUCCAGGAAAAAAAACUAGUCAUGGGAUGGAAAUGGAAGAUGGAUGCACAGCUGGUUUCGACUUAGAUGCAUUGGAGGAGAUUAAAAUGUUCAACCACAUCGAAGAAUUGGGACUAAUUACAAUGAUGAGGUUGCUCAAUGCACAAAUGAAGACAAGGCUUGCCAUAUCGAGGUUUAUAACAUGGAUAUGCUGGGUGUUGGAGCAAAUAAUUAUGUCCCAACACAAACUUCAGCGGCUGACGCACAGUGCAAUGAUAACGAUAAGGCGUUAAGACUAGUGCCAAAUUGUUGCAUGUCACUUUUUCUUGUGGUUGUGAUGUCAUGAUAGUCAUAUUCUGUUUGGAAUUAGGUGUGGUAUUGUUGCAUGUGUACUUGGAGACAUUAGAAAUAUGCGCUUUUCUACAGCCAAUAUAAACAUGACUUUGUGAUUCUGAAUAUGCAGCUGAUCAGGAUGGUACUCAGGCUGAACAGGAUACUCUGACGUCUAUGGUUGAAGCCAAAAGUGUUAACAUCUAUUAGUCUUUUCUCCCAUAUGUAAUGGGUAUUGUGUUGUGUGAUUUGUAAAUAAUGUUUCCUACGAAGAAGGAUGUCCCAAUGAGAGGGAUAUAUGAUUGUAAAUUGUGAGACCAUGUGAAAAGUUUACUACCAACUUUACUUUGUUUCUAGUUUUUAAUUAUGUUAAGCGGCUUGCAGAAGGUGAGCAAGGAUGGAUGAUGUGUGGUUUUAUCAUUUUACAUGUAUAACUGCAGUAUCAAUCUUAUGUUGUUGAGUUAUAAUUAGAAAUGGGAGUUUAUUCCCUCGUCCCAAUGGAGUGAAGUUAUUCAUCUUUUCCCUUCA
This is a non-coding RNA of Arachis ipaensis, 3624 nucleotides long. The record is from RefSeq and is a predicted model, not a curated record. NCBI's taxonomy places the organism in Eukaryota, Viridiplantae, Streptophyta, Magnoliopsida, Fabales, Fabaceae.